AGAGUUUGAUCAUGGCUCAGGAUGAACGCUGGCGGUAUGCUUAACACAUGCAAGUCGAACGGAGUACUUCGGUACUUAGUGGCGGACGGGUGAGUAACGCGUGAGAAUCUGCCUUCAGGUUCGGGACAACCACUGGAAACGGUGGCUAAUACCGAAUGUGCAGCAAUGUGAAAAAUUUAUUGCCUGAAGAUGAGCUCGCGUCUGAUUAGCUAGUAGGUGUGGUAAGAGCGCACCUAGGCGACGAUCAGUAGCUGGUCUGAGAGGAUGAUCAGCCACACUGGGACUGAGACACGGCCCAGACUCCUACGGGAGGCAGCAGUGGGGAAUUUUCCGCAAUGGGCGAAAGCCUGACGGAGCAAUACCGCGUGAGGGAGGAAGGCUCUUGGGUUGUAAACCUCUUUUCUCAAGGAAGAAAAAAAUGACGGUACUUGAGGAAUAAGCAUCGGCUAACUCCGUGCCAGCAGCCGCGGUAAUACGGAGGAUGCAAGCGUUAUCCGGAAUGAUUGGGCGUAAAGCGUCCGCAGGUGGCUAUGUAAGUCUGCUGUUAAAGAGUCUGGCUCAACCAGAUAAAGGCAGUGGAAACUACAUGGCUAGAGUGCGUUCGGGGCAGAGGGAAUUCCUGGUGUAGCGGUGAAAUGCGUAGAGAUCAGGAAGAACACCGGUGGCGAAAGCGCUCUGCUAGGCCGCAACUGACACUGAGGGACGAAAGCUAGGGGAGCGAAUGGGAUUAGAUACCCCAGUAGUCC
This 746-nucleotide ribosomal RNA is filed under the name uncultured cyanobacterium. RNAcentral's name for it is "bacterial SSU rRNA". It matches the Rfam family "Bacterial small subunit ribosomal RNA", at positions 8 to 796 of the family's 1533-position model. The record is from RNAcentral. Lineage: Bacteria; Bacillati; Cyanobacteriota.